GUGGGGAAUCUUAGACAAUGGGGGAAACCCUGAUCUAGCCAUGCCGCGUGAUCGAUGAAGGCCUUAGGGUUGUAAAGAUCUUUCAGCUGGGAAGAUAAUGACGGUACCAGCAGAAGAAGCCCCGGCUAACUCCGUGCCAGCAGCCGCGGUAAUACGGAGGGGGCUAGCGUUGUUCGGAAUUACUGGGCGUAAAGCGCACGUAGGCGGAUUGGAAAGUUGGGGGUGAAAUCCCGGGGCUCAACCCCGGAACUGCCUUCAAAACUCCCAGUCUUGAGGUCGAGAGAGGUGAGUGGAAUUCCGAGUGUAGAGGUGAAAUUCGUAGAUAUUCGGAGGAACACCAGUGGCGAAGGCGGCUCACUGGCUCGAUACUGACGCUGAGGUGCGAAAGCGUGGGGAGCAAACAGGAUUAGAAACCCUAGUAGUCC
RNAcentral lists this ribosomal RNA (425 nucleotides) under uncultured bacterium. Its description in RNAcentral is "partial 16S ribosomal RNA". It matches the Rfam family "Bacterial small subunit ribosomal RNA", at positions 354 to 796 of the family's 1533-position model. The record is from RNAcentral.